This is a long non-coding RNA of Carassius carassius (crucian carp), 503 nucleotides long. RefSeq lists it as uncharacterized. Lineage: Eukaryota; Metazoa; Chordata; Actinopteri; Cypriniformes; Cyprinidae. The record is from RefSeq and is a predicted model, not a curated record. The transcript has 2 exons.
AAAGGAUUAUUCCCCUAUAUGGAGUCCCAUGUAAAUCUCGAAACCUCAUAAUGGCCAAUGUUGGCCCAUAAAACUGUGUUGAACAAAGGCGAUUGAAUGGAGGCUUUUUCACGCAUAAGGGGGUUUUCAGAGGACUUUAUUGACGACGGGUCGGCCCGCGAUAAUCUCUCUGCCGGUGAAAGCGCGCCUCAGAGCGGCAGAUGAAGUGGUCCCUCUCGUGCCCAGGUCCUGUGGACGCCCUCUACCACUUAACAAAAGCAAAGCGGCGCUAAACGACGACAGGCCGGAACAAUGAAUUCAACCCGGCGCGCUCUCAGCACCGUGAAAUUGCAUAUUAAACCGAAAAAGCGGAGCCGGUGACACAGAGUUGCAUUUCUUCAAGAAUGCAAAUGUGGAAAUUGAAUGUUGAACACACUCACAUCACGGCUGACCAUAUUUCCCUGAUGCAACCUCUGUUCAAAAUCAAAGUUUUAAUUAGAUAAAGUAAGAGUAAAUAUAUUACA